RNAcentral lists this ribosomal RNA (272 nucleotides) under uncultured bacterium. RNAcentral describes it as "partial 16S ribosomal RNA". It matches the Rfam family "Bacterial small subunit ribosomal RNA", at positions 1220 to 1500 of the family's 1533-position model. The record is from RNAcentral.
ACGUGUUACAAUGGGGGGUACAGAGGGCCGCUACCACGCGAGUGGAUGCCAAUCCCCAAAACCUCUCUCAGUUCGGACUGGAGUCUGCAACCCGACUCCACGAAGCUGGAUUCGCUAGUAAUCGCGCAUCAGCCACGGCGCGGUGAAUACGUUCCCGGGCCUUGUACACACCGCCCGUCAAGCCAUGGGAGCCGGGGGUACCUGAAGUGCGUAACCGCGAGGAGCGCCCUAGGGUAAAACUGGUGACUGGGGCUAAGUCGUAACAAGGUAAC